UACGUAGGGGGCGAGCGUUGUCCGGAAUUACUGGGCGUAAAGAGCGUGUAGGCGGGUAAUUAAGUCAGGUGUGAAAGACCGGGGCUCAACCUCGGGAUUGCACUUGAAACUGGAUAUCUUGAGGGCAGGAGAGGAAAGUGGAAUUCCUGGUGUAGCGGUGAAAUGCGUAGAUAUCAGGAGGAACACCGGUGGCGAAGGCGGCUUUCUGGACUGACCCUGACGCUGAGACGCGAAAGCGUGGGGAGCAAACAGG
RNAcentral lists this ribosomal RNA (253 nucleotides) under uncultured bacterium. RNAcentral describes it as "partial 16S ribosomal RNA". It matches the Rfam family "Bacterial small subunit ribosomal RNA", at positions 524 to 776 of the family's 1533-position model. The record is from RNAcentral.